UACGUAGGGUGCAAGCGUUGUCCGGAAUUAUUGGGCGUAAAGAGCUCGUAGGCGGUCUGUCGCGUCGAAUGUGAAAACCCGGGGCUCAACUCCGGGCUUGCAUUCGAUACGGGCAGGCUAGAGUUCGGUAGGGGAGUCUGGAAUUCCUGGUGUAGCGGUGAAAUGCGCAGAUAUCAGGAGGAACACCGAUGGCGAAGGCAGGUCUCUGGGCUGUAACUGACGCUGAGGAGCGAAAGCAUGGGGAGCGAACAGG
This 253-nucleotide ribosomal RNA is filed under the name uncultured bacterium. RNAcentral's name for it is "partial 16S ribosomal RNA". It matches the Rfam family "Bacterial small subunit ribosomal RNA", at positions 524 to 776 of the family's 1533-position model. The record is from RNAcentral.